ACCUAGCUGGCUCAGUUGGUAGAGUAUGCACCUCUUGAUCGUGGGGUUGUGAGUUCAAGCCCCAUGUUGGGUA
This 73-nucleotide transfer RNA is filed under the name Felis catus (domestic cat). It matches the Rfam family "tRNA". Rfam says of the family: Transfer RNA (tRNA) molecules are approximately 80 nucleotides in length. Their secondary structure includes four short double-helical elements and three loops (D, anti-codon, and T loops). Further hydrogen bonds mediate the characteristic L-shaped molecular structure. tRNAs have two regions of fundamental functional importance: the anti-codon, which is responsible for specific mRNA codon recognition, and the 3' end, to which the tRNAs corresponding amino acid is attached (by aminoacyl-tRNA synthetases). tRNAs cope with the degeneracy of the genetic code in two manners: having more than one tRNA (with a specific anti-codon) for a particular amino acid; and 'wobble' base-pairing, i.e. permitting non-standard base-pairing at the 3rd anti-codon position. Lineage: Eukaryota; Metazoa; Chordata; Mammalia; Carnivora; Felidae. The record is from Rfam by way of RNAcentral. RNAcentral also lists the same sequence under 3 other names.